RNAcentral lists this transfer RNA (99 nucleotides) under Sclerotinia borealis F-4128. It matches the Rfam family "tRNA". Rfam says of the family: Transfer RNA (tRNA) molecules are approximately 80 nucleotides in length. Their secondary structure includes four short double-helical elements and three loops (D, anti-codon, and T loops). Lineage: Eukaryota; Fungi; Ascomycota; Leotiomycetes; Helotiales; Sclerotiniaceae. The record is from Rfam by way of RNAcentral.
GCCUGUUUGGCGCAGUGGUAACGCGUAGCACUUGUAUGUAACCGAUUCUGGUUGGUUACAGAAAUGCUAAGAUCAUUGGUUCGAUUCCAGUAAUAGGCA